GGUUAAGCGACUAAGCGUACACGGUGGAUGCCCUGGCAGUCAGAGGCGAUGAAGGACGUGCUAAUCUGCGAUAAGCGUCGGUAAGGUGAUAUGAACCGUUAUAACCGGCGAUUUCCGAAUGGGGAAACCCAGUGUGUUUCGACACACUAUCAUUAACUGAAUCCAUAGGUUAAUGAGGCGAACCGGGGGAACUGAAACAUCUAAGUACCCCGAGGAAAAGAAAUCAACCGAGAUUCCCCCAGUAGCGGCGAGCGAACGGGGAGCAGCCCAGAGCCUGAAUCAGUAUGUGUGUUAGUGGAAGCGUCUGGAAAGGCGCGCGAUACAGGGUGACAGCCCCGUACACAAAAAUGCACAUGCUGUGAGCUCGAUGAGUAGGGCGGGACACGUGGUAUCCUGUCUGAAUAUGGGGGGACCAUCCUCCAAGGCUAAAUACUCCUGACUGACCGAUAGUGAACCAGUACCGUGAGGGAAAGGCGAAAAGAACCCCGGCGAGGGGAGUGAAAAAGAACCUGAAACCGUGUACGUACAAGCAGUGGGAGCACGCUUAGGCGUGUGACUGCGUACCUUUUGUAUAAUGGGUCAGCGACUUAUAUUCUGUAGCAAGGUUAACCGAAUAGGGGAGCCGAAGGGAAACCGAGUCUUAACUGGGCGUUAAGUUGCAGGGUAUAGACCCGAAACCCGGUGAUCUAGCCAUGGGCAGGUUGAAGGUUGGGUAACACUAACUGGAGGACCGAACCGACUAAUGUUGAAAAAUUAGCGGAUGACUUGUGGCUGGGGGUGAAAGGCCAAUCAAACCGGGAGAUAGCUGGUUCUCCCCGAAAGCUAUUUAGGUAGCGCCUCGUGAAUUCAUCUCCGGGGGUAGAGCACUGUUUCGGCAAGGGGGUCAUCCCGACUUACCAACCCGAUGCAAACUGCGAAUACCGGAGAAUGUUAUCACGGGAGACACACGGCGGGUGCUAACGUCCGUCGUGAAGAGGGAAACAACCCAGACCGCCAGCUAAGGUCCCAAAGUCAUGGUUAAGUGGGAAACGAUGUGGGAAGGCCCAGACAGCCAGGAUGUUGGCUUAGAAGCAGCCAUCAUUUAAAGAAAGCGUAAUAGCUCACUGGUCGAGUCGGCCUGCGCGGAAGAUGUAACGGGGCUAAACCAUGCACCGAAGCUGCGGCAGCGACGCUGAUGCGUUGUUGGGUAGGGGAGCGUUCUGUAAGCCUGUGAAGGUGUGCUGUGAGGCAUGCUGGAGGUAUCAGAAGUGCGAAUGCUGACAUAAGUAACGAUAAAGCGGGUGAAAAGCCCGCUCGCCGGAAGACCAAGGGUUCCUGUCCAACGUUAAUCGGGGCAGGGUGAGUCGACCCCUAAGGCGAGGCCGAAAGGCGUAGUCGAUGGGAAACAGGUUAAUAUUCCUGUACUUGGUGUUACUGCGAAGGGGGGACGGAGAAGGCUAUGUUGGCCGGGCGACGGUUGUCCCGGUUUAAGCGUGUAGGCUGGUUUUCCAGGCAAAUCCGGAAAAUCAAGGCUGAGGCGUGAUGACGAGGCACUACGGUGCUGAAGCAACAAAUGCCCUGCUUCCAGGAAAAGCCUCUAAGCAUCAGGUAACAUCAAAUCGUACCCCAAACCGACACAGGUGGUCAGGUAGAGAAUACCAAGGCGCUUGAGAGAACUCGGGUGAAGGAACUAGGCAAAAUGGUGCCGUAACUUCGGGAGAAGGCACGCUGAUAUGUAGGUGAAGUCCCUCGCGGAUGGAGCUGAAAUCAGUCGAAGAUACCAGCUGGCUGCAACUGUUUAUUAAAAACACAGCACUGUGCAAACACGAAAGUGGACGUAUACGGUGUGACGCCUGCCCGGUGCCGGAAGGUUAAUUGAUGGGGUUAGCCGCAAGGCGAAGCUCUUGAUCGAAGCCCCGGUAAACGGCGGCCGUAACUAUAACGGUCCUAAGGUAGCGAAAUUCCUUGUCGGGUAAGUUCCGACCUGCACGAAUGGCGUAAUGAUGGCCAGGCUGUCUCCACCCGAGACUCAGUGAAAUUGAACUCGCUGUGAAGAUGCAGUGUACCCGCGGCAAGACGGAAAGACCCCGUGAACCUUUACUAUAGCUUGACACUGAACAUUGAGCCUUGAUGUGUAGGAUAGGUGGGAGGCUUAGAAGUGUGGACGCCAGUCUGCAUGGAGCCGACCUUGAAAUACCACCCUUUAAUGUUUGAUGUUCUAACGUUGACCCGUAAUCCGGGUUGCGGACAGUGUCUGGUGGGUAGUUUGACUGGGGCGGUCUCCUCCUAAAGAGUAACGGAGGAGCACGAAGGUUGGCUAAUCCUGGUCGGACAUCAGGAGGUUAGUGCAAUGGCAUAAGCCAGCUUGACUGCGAGCGUGACGGCGCGAGCAGGUGCGAAAGCAGGUCAUAGUGAUCCGGUGGUUCUGAAUGGAAGGGCCAUCGCUCAACGGAUAAAAGGUACUCCGGGGAUAACAGGCUGAUACCGCCCAAGAGUUCAUAUCGACGGCGGUGUUUGGCACCUCGAUGUCGGCUCAUCACAUCCUGGGGCUGAAGUAGGUCCCAAGGGUAUGGCUGUUCGCCAUUUAAAGUGGUACGCGAGCUGGGUUUAGAACGUCGUGAGACAGUUCGGUCCCUAUCUGCCGUGGGCGCUGGAGAACUGAGGGGGGCUGCUCCUAGUACGAGAGGACCGGAGUGGACGCAUCACUGGUGUUCGGGUUGUCAUGCCAAUGGCACUGCCCGGUAGCUAAAUGCGGAAGAGAUAAGUGCUGAAAGCAUCUAAGCACGAAACUUGCCCCGAGAUGAGUUCUCCCUGACUCCUUGAGAGUCCUGAAGGAACGUUGAAGACGACGACGUUGAUAGGCCGGGUGUGUAAGCGCAGCGAUGCGUUGAGCUAACCGGUACUAAUGAACCGUGAGGCUUAACCUU
This 2906-nucleotide ribosomal RNA is filed under the name Escherichia coli. RNAcentral's name for it is "23S ribosomal RNA". It matches the Rfam family "Bacterial large subunit ribosomal RNA". The record is from RNAcentral. Lineage: Bacteria; Pseudomonadati; Pseudomonadota; Gammaproteobacteria; Enterobacterales; Enterobacteriaceae.